GCAAAUUACUGGGACGCAGCGGGGGGAAGAGGUGAAGGCGGAGAGUUGUCGGGAGUUGUGGGGCGUAGAGAUCGUGUAUGCGGUUAGGUGGGUCAGUGGUGAAAACUGUGGGCUCAACCUGCAGACGUCGGCCGAAAGCGUCUGGCGAGAGUCCGGGAGAGGAGAGUGGAAUUCCUGGUGUAGCGGUGAAAUGCGCAGAUAUCAGGAAGAACACCCGUGGCGAGAGCGGCUCUCUGGAACGGUACUGACGCUGAGACGCGAAAGCGUGGGGAGCGAACAGGAUUAGAUACCCUAGUAGUC
RNAcentral lists this ribosomal RNA (300 nucleotides) under uncultured Methanosaeta sp. RNAcentral's name for it is "bacterial SSU rRNA". It matches the Rfam family "Bacterial small subunit ribosomal RNA", at positions 496 to 795 of the family's 1533-position model. Lineage: Archaea; Methanobacteriati; Methanobacteriota; Methanomicrobia; Methanotrichales; Methanotrichaceae. The record is from RNAcentral.